UCGAGCGCUGAUUUCAGGGUAGCAAUAUUCUGGAGUCGGAGCGGCGCAAGGGUGCGUAACACGUGGGUAAUCUGCCAUGAAGUCUGGAAUAACUUGCUGAAAGGCGAGCUAAUGCCGGAUGUGACCAUUGGGAGGCAUCUCCUGAUGUUUAAAGUUGGGGACCGUAAGGCCUGACGCUUCAUGAUGAACCCGCGGCCUAUCAGCUAGUUGGUGAGGUAACGGCCCACCAAGGCUAAGACGGGUAGCUGGUCUGAGAGGACGACCAGCCACACUGGAACUGAGACACGGUCCAGACACCUACGGGUGGCAGCAGUCGAGAAUUUUUCACAAUGGGCGCAAGCCUGAUGGAGCGACGCCGCGUGGGGGAUGAAUGGCUUCGGCCCGUAAACCCCUGUCAUUCGCGAUCAAACCUUGUUAUUUAAAAGAUGACGAGCUGAUAGUAGCGGAAGAGGAAGGGACGGCUAACUCUGUGCCAGCAGCCGCGGUAAUACAGAGGUCCCAAGCGUUGUUCGGAUUCACUGGGCGUAAAGGGUGCGUAGGUGGUGAGGUAAGUCGGAUGUGAAAGCUCGGAGCUCAACUCCGAAAUGGCAUUGGAAACUACCUUGCUCGAGGGUUGGAGGGGGGACUGGAAUUCUCGGUGUAGCAGUGAAAUGCGUAGAUAUCGAGAGGAACACCAGUGGCGAAGGCGAGUCCCUGGACAACUCCUGACACUGAGGCACGAAAGCUAGGGGAACAAACAGGAUUAGAUACCCUGGUAGUCCUAGCCNUA
RNAcentral lists this ribosomal RNA (769 nucleotides) under uncultured bacterium. Its description in RNAcentral is "bacterial SSU rRNA". It matches the Rfam family "Bacterial small subunit ribosomal RNA", at positions 62 to 804 of the family's 1533-position model. The record is from RNAcentral.